GAGUUUGAUCCUGGCUCAGGAUUAACGCUGGCGGCAUGCCUAAUACAUGCAAGUCGAACGGAGUAGCAAUACUUAGUGGCGAACGGGUGAGUAACACGUAUCUAAUCUACCAUUUAGUGGGGAAUAACUGUUGGAAACGACAGCUAAUACCGCAUAAUAUUGCUGGAUAAUUUCCAGUAAUGAAAGGAGCUUUCAAGCUCCGCUGAUUGAUGAGGAUGCGGCGCAUUAGCUAGUUGGUAGGGUAAUGGCCUACCAAGGCAAUGAUGCGUAGCCGAUCUGAGAGGAUGAACGGCCACAUUGGGACUGAGACACGGCCCAAACUUCUACGGAAGGCAGCAGUAGGGAAUUUUUCACAAUGGGCGAAAGCCUGAUGGAGCAAUGCCGCGUGACUGAUGAAGGUCUUCGGAUUGUAAAGGUCUGUUGUAAGGGAAGAAAUGGUAAAACAGGAAAUGGUUUUAUCUAUGACGGUACCUUACCAGAAAGCCACGGCUAACUAUGUGCCAGCAGCCGCGGUAAUACAUAGGUGGCAAGCGUUAUCCGGAUUUAUUGGGCGUAAAGGGUGCGUAGACGGUUUUGCAAGUCUGAGGUUAAAUUUAGGAGCUCAACUCCUAAUCGCCUUGGAAACUACAAGACUAGAGUAUAGGAGAGGUUAGUGGAAUUCCAUGUGUAGCGGUGGAAUGUGUAGAUAUAUGGAGGGAACACCAGUGGCGAAG
Molecule: ribosomal RNA, 713 nt
Filed under: uncultured Spiroplasma sp.
Lineage: Bacteria; Bacillati; Mycoplasmatota; Mollicutes; Entomoplasmatales; Spiroplasmataceae
Description: bacterial SSU rRNA
Rfam family: Bacterial small subunit ribosomal RNA
Source: RNAcentral